UACGGGGGGAGCAAGCGUUGUUCGGAUUUACUGGGCGUAAAGGGCGCGUAGGCGGCACCGCAAGUCGACUGUGAAAUCUCCGGGCUUAACUCGGAAAGGUCAGCCGAUACUGCGGGGCUAGAGUGCAGAAGGGGCAACUGGAAUUUACGGUGUAGCAGUGAAAUGCGUAGAGAUCGUAAGGAAGACCAGUGGCGAAGGCGGGUCUCUGGACAGUUCCUGACACUGAGGCACGAAGGCCAGGGGAGCAAACGGG
RNAcentral lists this ribosomal RNA (253 nucleotides) under uncultured bacterium. RNAcentral describes it as "partial 16S ribosomal RNA". It matches the Rfam family "Bacterial small subunit ribosomal RNA", at positions 524 to 776 of the family's 1533-position model. The record is from RNAcentral.